Molecule: non-coding RNA, 537 nt
Filed under: Lepisosteus oculatus (spotted gar)
Lineage: Eukaryota; Metazoa; Chordata; Actinopteri; Semionotiformes; Lepisosteidae
Description: Eukaryotic large subunit ribosomal RNA
Rfam family: Eukaryotic large subunit ribosomal RNA
Source: Rfam by way of RNAcentral
UAUCCCAUAACUUUGGGAUAAUGAUUGGCUCUAAGGGCUGGAUUGGUCGGGCUGGGUUGGGAAGCGGGGCUGGGCUGGGCACAAGUCUCGGCUGGACGAGGCGCCAUGUGCCAUGGCCCCUCUUGCACGCCCCGGUCGGAGCCCACCCUCCCCUUCUCGCGGGAAGGCUGGGGUGCCGGGGGGGAAAGCCAUCGUCCACGGCGGUGAAUCUAGACAUGCGUCGGGCCCUUCCCGUGGAUCUCCCCAGUUGAGGCUCGCCUCGGUAAACCUCUUCCUGCCCGGGGAAGGCCGGCAGGUGGUGGGCGGCCUCGGCCAGUGUCUAGCAGCUGGCUUAGAACUGGUGCGGACCACGGGAAUUCGACUGUUUAAUUAAAACAAAGCAUUGUGAAGGCCCGCGGCGGAUGUCGAUGCGAUGCAAUUUCUGCCCAGUGCUCUGAAUGUCAAAGUGAAUAAAUUCAAUGAAGCACGGCUAAACGGCGGGAGUAACUAUGACUCUCUUAAUUCCCUUGGGUAAGGAGUGGAGACUUAUUGACCUCU